RNAcentral lists this ribosomal RNA (374 nucleotides) under uncultured organism. Its description in RNAcentral is "partial 16S ribosomal RNA". It matches the Rfam family "Bacterial small subunit ribosomal RNA", at positions 527 to 896 of the family's 1533-position model. The record is from RNAcentral.
GUAGGUGGCAAGCGUUGUCCGGAAUUAUUGGGCGUAAAGCGCGCGCAGGCGGUUCUUUAAGUCUGAUGUGAAAGCCCACGGCUCAACCGUGGAGGGUCAUUGGAAACUGGAGAACUUGAGUACAGAAGAGGAAAGCGGAAUUCCACGUGUAGCGGUGAAAUGCGUAGAGAUGUGGAGGAACACCAGUGGCGAAGGCGGCUUUCUGGUCUGUAACUGACGCUGAGGCGCGAAAGCGUGGGGAGCAAACAGGGAUUAGAUACCCUGGUAGUCCACGCCGUAAACGAUGAGUGCUAAGUGUUAGGGGGGGUUUCCGCCCCCUUAGUGCUGCAGCUAACGCAUUAAGCACUCCGCCUGGGGAUACGGCCGCAAGGCUG